RNAcentral lists this ribosomal RNA (495 nucleotides) under uncultured bacterium. Its description in RNAcentral is "partial 16S ribosomal RNA". It matches the Rfam family "Bacterial small subunit ribosomal RNA", at positions 28 to 507 of the family's 1533-position model. The record is from RNAcentral.
GACGAACGCUGGCGGCGUGCCUAAUACAUGCAAGUAGAACGCCGAAGGAGGAGCUUGCUUCUCUGGAUGAGUUGCGAACGGGUGAGUAACGCGUAGGUAACCUGCCUGGUAGCGGGGGAUAACUAUUGGAAACGAUAGCUAAUACCGCAUAAUAGUAGAUGUUGCAUGACAUUUGCUUAAAAGGUGCAAUUGCAUCACUACAAGAUGGACCUGCGUUGUAUUAGCUAGUUGGUGAGGUAACGGCUCACCAAGGCGACGAUACAUAGCCGGCCUGAGAGGGUGGUCGGCCACACUUGGACUGGGACACGGCCCAGGCUCCUUCGGGAGGGAGCAAUAGGGGAACUUCGGCAAUGGGCGGAAGUCUGACCGAACAACGCCGCGUGGGUGAAGAAGGUUUUCGGGUCGGAAAGCUCUGUUGUAAGGGAAGGACGAGUGUGAGAGUGGAAAGUUCACGCUGUGACGGUAUCUUACCAGAAAGGGACGGCUAACUACGUG